CCCUUAGAUGUUCUGGGCUGCACGCGCGCUACACUGACGCACCCAACGGGUUUACGACCUUGCCUGGAAAGGUUGGGUAAUCCUACAAAAAUGCGUCGUGGUGGGGACAGAUUACUGCAAUAACUAAUCUUCAACGAGGAAUUCCUAGUAAGCGCGAGUCAUCAGCUCGUGCUGAUUACCUCCCUGCCCUUUGUACACACCGCCCGUCGCUCCUACCGAUUAAGUGAUCCGGUGAAUAGUUCGGGCUGCUGCAAUGCUUGGAUCCCGAGAAUUGCGGCGAAAGUUUAGUGAACCUUAUCACUUAGAGGAAGGAGAAGUCGUAACA
RNAcentral lists this ribosomal RNA (325 nucleotides) under uncultured eukaryote. RNAcentral describes it as "partial 18S ribosomal RNA". It matches the Rfam family "Eukaryotic small subunit ribosomal RNA", at positions 1470 to 1796 of the family's 1831-position model. The record is from RNAcentral.